RNAcentral lists this ribosomal RNA (219 nucleotides) under Triticum aestivum (bread wheat). RNAcentral describes it as "partial small subunit ribosomal RNA". The record is from RNAcentral. Lineage: Eukaryota; Viridiplantae; Streptophyta; Magnoliopsida; Poales; Poaceae.
AUGAACAUAGCCCUGCUCUCCAAAUGGCUAUGGUGCAUUGAGGCAGGAGAUGGGGGCCUAUGGCUCCAGAUCAUCCGUGCAAAGUUCUUGCGUGGACAACCCCUUGCCUUCACCCCCCGAACAGGUGGAUCUCAGUUUUGGCAAUCGGUCAUCCAACUAAUGCCGGUCCUAUGGAUUGGGUCGUCUAUCUCGGUAGGGACGGGUACCAAAACCCUGUUC